RNAcentral lists this ribosomal RNA (1537 nucleotides) under Neisseria meningitidis alpha522. RNAcentral's name for it is "bacterial LSU rRNA". It matches the Rfam family "Bacterial large subunit ribosomal RNA", at positions 1398 to 2925 of the family's 2925-position model. The record is from RNAcentral. Lineage: Bacteria; Pseudomonadati; Pseudomonadota; Betaproteobacteria; Neisseriales; Neisseriaceae.
GAGGCAGAAAUGCGUAGUCGAUGGGAAACAGGUUAAUAUUCCUGUACUUGAUUCAAAUGCGAUGUGGGGACGGAGAAGGUUAGGUUGGCAAGCUGUUGGAAUAGCUUGUUUAAGCCGGUAGGUGGAAGACUUAGGCAAAUCCGGGUCUUCUUAACACCGAGAAGUGACGACGAGUGUCUACGGACACGAAGCAACCGAUACCACGCUUCCAGGAAAAGCCACUAAGCUUCAGUUUGAAUCGAACCGUACCGCAAACCGACACAGGUGGGCAGGAUGAGAAUUCUAAGGCGCUUGAGAGAACUCAGGAGAAGGAACUCGGCAAAUUGAUACCGUAACUUCGGGAGAAGGUAUGCCCUCUAAGGUUAAGGACUUGCUCCGUAAGCCCAGGAGGGUCGCAGAGAAUAGGUGGCUGCGACUGUUUAUUAAAAACACAGCACUCUGCUAACACGAAAGUGGACGUAUAGGGUGUGACGCCUGCCCGGUGCUGGAAGGUUAAUUGAAGAUGUGAGAGCAUCGGAUCGAAGCCCCAGUAAACGGCGGCCGUAACUAUAACGGUCCUAAGGUAGCGAAAUUCCUUGUCGGGUAAGUUCCGACCCGCACGAAUGGCGUAACGAUGGCCACACUGUCUCCUCCUGAGACUCAGCGAAGUUGAAGUGGUUGUGAAGAUGCAAUCUACCCGCUGCUAGACGGAAAGACCCCGUGAACCUUUACUGUAGCUUUGCAUUGGACUUUGAAGUCACUUGUGUAGGAUAGGUGGGAGGCUUAGAAGCAGAGACGCCAGUCUCUGUGGAGCCGUCCUUGAAAUACCACCCUGGUGUCUUUGAGGUUCUAACCCAGACCCGUCAUCCGGGUCGGGGACCGUGCAUGGUAGGCAGUUUGACUGGGGCGGUCUCCUCCCAAAGCGUAACGGAGGAGUUCGAAGGUUACCUAAGUCCGGUCGGAAAUCGGACUGAUAGUGCAAUGGCAAAAGGUAGCUUAACUGCGAGACCGACAAGUCGAGCAGGUGCGAAAGCAGGACAUAGUGAUCCGGUGGUUCUGUAUGGAAGGGCCAUCGCUCAACGGAUAAAAGGUACUCCGGGGAUAACAGGCUGAUUCCGCCCAAGAGUUCAUAUCGACGGCGGAGUUUGGCACCUCGAUGUCGGCUCAUCACAUCCUGGGGCUGUAGUCGGUCCCAAGGGUAUGGCUGUUCGCCAUUUAAAGUGGUACGUGAGCUGGGUUUAAAACGUCGUGAGACAGUUUGGUCCCUAUCUGCAGUGGGCGUUGGAAGUUUGACGGGGGCUGCUCCUAGUACGAGAGGACCGGAGUGGACGAACCUCUGGUGUACCGGUUGUAACGCCAGUUGCAUAGCCGGGUAGCUAAGUUCGGAAGAGAUAAGCGCUGAAAGCAUCUAAGCGCGAAACUCGCCUGAAGAUGAGACUUCCCUUGCGGUUUAACCGCACUAAAGAGUCGUUCGAGACCAGGACGUUGAUAGGUGGGGUGUGGAAGCGCGGUAACGCGUGAAGCUAACCCAUACUAAUUGCUCGUGAGGCUUGACUCU